This 588-nucleotide ribosomal RNA is filed under the name uncultured Planctomycetota bacterium. RNAcentral's name for it is "bacterial SSU rRNA". It matches the Rfam family "Bacterial small subunit ribosomal RNA", at positions 346 to 928 of the family's 1533-position model. Lineage: Bacteria; Pseudomonadati; Planctomycetota. The record is from RNAcentral.
UGGCUGCAGUCGAGGAUCUUCGGCAAUGGGCGCAAGCCUGACCGAGCGACGCCGCGUGCGGGAUGAAGGCCUUCGGGUUGUAAACCGCUGUCGUAGAGGAGGAAAUGCAGGAGGGUUCUCCCUCCUGUUUGACCUAUUCUAGGAGGAAGGACGGGCUAAGUUCGUGCCAGCAGCCGCGGUAAGACGAACCGUCCAAACGUUACUCGGAAUUACUGGGCUUAAAGGGUGCGUAGGCUGCGCGGAAAGUCGGGUGUGAAAGCCCUCAGCUCAACUGGGGAAUUGCACUCGAAACUACCGUGCUCGAGGGAGACAGAGGUAAGCGGAACUCAAGGUGGAGCGGUGAAAUGCGUUGAUAUCUUGAGGAACACCGGUGGCGAAGGCGGCUUACUGGGUCUCUUCUGACGCUGAGGCACGAAAGCCAAGGUAGCAAACGGGAUUAGAUACCCCGGUAGUCUUGGCUGUAAACGAUGAGCACUUGUUUGAAGGGUCCUCCAUAGCCUUUCAGACGUAGCGAAAGUGUUAAGUGCUCCGCCUGGGGAGUAUGGUCGCAAGGCUGAAACUCAAAGAAAUUGACGGGGGCUCACACAA